UACAGAGGAUGCAAGCGUUAUCCGGAAUGAUUGGGCGUAAAGCGUCUGUAGGUGGCUUUUUAAGUCCGCCGUCAAAUCCCAGGGCUCAACUCUGGACAGGCGGUGGAAACUACCAAGCUGGAGUACGGUAGGGGCAGAGGGAAUUCCCGGUGUAGCGGUGAAAUGCGUAGAGAUCGGGAAGAACAUCGGUGGCGAAGGCGGCACUCUGGGCCGGUACUGACGCUGAGGAGCGAAAGCGUGGGGAGCAAACAGG
RNAcentral lists this ribosomal RNA (253 nucleotides) under uncultured bacterium. RNAcentral's name for it is "partial 16S ribosomal RNA". It matches the Rfam family "Bacterial small subunit ribosomal RNA", at positions 524 to 776 of the family's 1533-position model. The record is from RNAcentral.